This 105-nucleotide ribosomal RNA is filed under the name Cantharellula umbonata. Its description in RNAcentral is "partial 18S ribosomal RNA". Lineage: Eukaryota; Fungi; Basidiomycota; Agaricomycetes; Agaricales; Hygrophoraceae. The record is from RNAcentral.
CCGUAGGUGAACCUGCGGAAGGAUCAACCCCUGUAAUAGUUUGUGGGCAAGUCUCCCCGUGUUGUAAGUCCAUUGGACUGGAUGCGCGGUGGUGGAUGCCGGUCU